GAUGAACGCUGGCGGCGUGCUUAACACAUGCAAGUCGAACGGAAAGGCCCAAGCUUGCUUGGGUACUCGAGUGGCGAACGGGUGAGUAACACGUGGGUGAUCUGCCCUGCACUUCGGGAUAAGCCUGGGAAACUGGGUCUAAUACCGGAUAGGACCACAUUUUGGAUGGUGUGGUGGAAAGUUUUUCGGUGUGGGAUGAGCUCGCGGCCUAUCAGCUUGUUGGUGGGGUAAUGGCCUACCAAGGCGUCGACGGGUAGCCGGCCUGAGAGGGUGUACGGCCACAUUAGGACUGAGAUGCGGCCCAGACUCCUACGGGAGGCAGCAGUGGGGAAGAUUGCACAAUAGGCGCAAGCCUGAUGCAGCGACGCCGCGUGGGGGAUGACAGCCUUCGGGUUGUAAACUCCUUUCGCUAGGGACGAAGCGCAAGUGACGGUACCUGGAGAAGAAGCACCGGCUAACUACGUG
RNAcentral lists this ribosomal RNA (465 nucleotides) under uncultured bacterium. Its description in RNAcentral is "partial 16S ribosomal RNA". It matches the Rfam family "Bacterial small subunit ribosomal RNA", at positions 28 to 507 of the family's 1533-position model. The record is from RNAcentral.